GGGUUGUGAGGUUAAGCGACUAAGCGUACACGGUGGAUGCCCUGGCAGUCAGAGGCGAUGAAGGACGUGCUAAUCUGCGAUAAGCGUCGGUAAGGUGAUAUGAACCGUUAUAACCGGCGAUUUCCGAAUGGGGAAACCCAGUGUGAUUCGUCACACUAUCAUUAACUGAAUCCAUAGGUUAAUGAGGCGAACCGGGGGAACUGAAACAUCUAAGUACCCCGAGGAAAAGAAAUCAACCGAGAUUCCCCCAGUAGCGGCGAGCGAACGGGGAGCAGCCCAGAGCCUGAAUCAGUGUGUGUGUUAGUGGAAGCGUCUGGAAAGGCGCGCGAUACAGGGUGACAGCCCCGUACACAAAAAUGCACAUAUUGUGAGCUCGAUGAGUAGGGCGGGACACGUGGUAUCCUGUCUGAAUAUGGGGGGACCAUCCUCCAAGGCUAAAUACUCCUGACUGACCGAUAGUGAACCAGUACCGUGAGGGAAAGGCGAAAAGAACCCCGGCGAGGGGAGUGAAAAAGAACCUGAAACCGUGUACGUACAAGCAGUGGGAGCACGCUUAGGCGUGUGACUGCGUACCUUUUGUAUAAUGGGUCAGCGACUUAUAUUCUGUAGCAAGGUUAACCGAAUAGGGGAGCCGAAGGGAAACCGAGUCUUAACUGGGCGUUAAGUUGCAGGGUAUAGACCCGAAACCCGGUGAUCUAGCCAUGGGCAGGUUGAAGGUUGGGUAACACUAACUGGAGGACCGAACCGACUAAUGUUGAAAAAUUAGCGGAUGACUUGUGGCUGGGGGUGAAAGGCCAAUCAAACCGGGAGAUAGCUGGUUCUCCCCGAAAGCUAUUUAGGUAGCGCCUCGUGAAUUCAUCUCCGGGGGUAGAGCACUGUUUCGGCAAGGGGGUCAUCCCGACUUACCAACCCGAUGCAAACUGCGAAUACCGGAGAAUGUUAUCACGGGAGACACACGGCGGGUGCUAACGUCCGUCGUGAAGAGGGAAACAACCCAGACCGCCAGCUAAGGUCCCAAAGUCAUGGUUAAGUGGGAAACGAUGUGGGAAGGCCCAGACAGCCAGGAUGUUGGCUUAGAAGCAGCCAUCAUUUAAAGAAAGCGUAAUAGCUCACUGGUCGAGUCGGCCUGCGCGGAAGAUGUAACGGGGCUAAACCAUGCACCGAAGCUGCGGCAGCGACGCUUAUGCGUUGUUGGGUAGGGGAGCGUUCUGUAAGCCUGUGAAGGUGUGCUGUGAGGCAUGCUGGAGGUAUCAGAAGUGCGAAUGCUGACAUAAGUAACGAUAAAGCGGGUGAAAAGCCCGCUCGCCGGAAGACCAAGGGUUCCUGUCCAACGUUAAUCGGGGCAGGGUGAGUCGACCCCUAAGGCGAGGCCGAAAGGCGUAGUCGAUGGGAAACAGGUUAAUAUUCCUGUACUUGGUGUUACUGCGAAGGGGGGACGGAGAAGGCUAUGUUGGCCGGGCGACGGUUGUCCCGGUUUAAGCGUGUAGGCUGGUUUUCCAGGCAAAUCCGGAAAAUCAAGGCUGAGGCGUGAUGACGAGGCACUACGGUGCUGAAGCAACAAAUGCCCUGCUUCCAGGAAAAGCCUCUAAGCAUCAGGUAACAUCAAAUCGUACCCCAAACCGACACAGGUGGUCAGGUAGAGAAUACCAAGGCGCUUGAGAGAACUCGGGUGAAGGAACUAGGCAAAAUGGUGCCGUAACUUCGGGAGAAGGCACGCUGAUAUGUAGGUGAAGCGACUUGCUCGUGGAGCUGAAAUCAGUCGAAGAUACCAGCUGGCUGCAACUGUUUAUUAAAAACACAGCACUGUGCAAACACGAAAGUGGACGUAUACGGUGUGACGCCUGCCCGGUGCCGGAAGGUUAAUUGAUGGGGUCAGCGCAAGCGAAGCUCUUGAUCGAAGCCCCGGUAAACGGCGGCCGUAACUAUAACGGUCCUAAGGUAGCGAAAUUCCUUGUCGGGUAAGUUCCGACCUGCACGAAUGGCGUAAUGAUGGCCAGGCUGUCUCCACCCGAGACUCAGUGAAAUUGAACUCGCUGUGAAGAUGCAGUGUACCCGCGGCAAGACGGAAAGACCCCGUGAACCUUUACUAUAGCUUGACACUGAACAUUGAGCCUUGAUGUGUAGGAUAGGUGGGAGGCUUUGAAGUGUGGACGCCAGUCUGCAUGGAGCCGACCUUGAAAUACCACCCUUUAAUGUUUGAUGUUCUAACGUUGACCCGUAAUCCGGGUUGCGGACAGUGUCUGGUGGGUAGUUUGACUGGGGCGGUCUCCUCCUAAAGAGUAACGGAGGAGCACGAAGGUUGGCUAAUCCUGGUCGGACAUCAGGAGGUUAGUGCAAUGGCAUAAGCCAGCUUGACUGCGAGCGUGACGGCGCGAGCAGGUGCGAAAGCAGGUCAUAGUGAUCCGGUGGUUCUGAAUGGAAGGGCCAUCGCUCAACGGAUAAAAGGUACUCCGGGGAUAACAGGCUGAUACCGCCCAAGAGUUCAUAUCGACGGCGGUGUUUGGCACCUCGAUGUCGGCUCAUCACAUCCUGGGGCUGAAGUAGGUCCCAAGGGUAUGGCUGUUCGCCAUUUAAAGUGGUACGCGAGCUGGGUUUAGAACGUCGUGAGACAGUUCGGUCCCUAUCUGCCGUGGGCGCUGGAGAACUGAGGGGGGCUGCUCCUAGUACGAGAGGACCGGAGUGGACGCAUCACUGGUGUUCGGGUUGUCAUGCCAAUGGCACUGCCCGGUAGCUAAAUGCGGAAGAGAUAAGUGCUGAAAGCAUCUAAGCACGAAACUUGCCCCGAGAUGAGUUCUCCCUGACUCCUUGAGAGUCCUGAAGGAACGUUGAAGACGACGACGUUGAUAGGCCGGGUGUGUAAGCGCA
This 2865-nucleotide ribosomal RNA is filed under the name Escherichia coli. RNAcentral describes it as "23S ribosomal RNA". It matches the Rfam family "Bacterial large subunit ribosomal RNA". The record is from RNAcentral. Lineage: Bacteria; Pseudomonadati; Pseudomonadota; Gammaproteobacteria; Enterobacterales; Enterobacteriaceae.